CACGUAGGGCGCAAGCGUUGUCCGGAAUUAUUGGGCGUAAAGAGCUCGUAGGUGGUUUGCUGCGUCCGCUGUGAAAACCCAAGGCUUAACCUUGGGCUUGCAGUGGAUACGGGCAGACUAGAGGUAGGUAGGGGAGAAUGGAAUUCCCGGUGUAGCGGUGAAAUGCGCAGAUAUCGGGAGGAACACCGGUGGCGAAGGCGGUUCUCUGGGCCUUACCUGACACUGAGGAGCGAAAGCAUGGGGAGCGAACAGG
This 253-nucleotide ribosomal RNA is filed under the name uncultured bacterium. RNAcentral's name for it is "partial 16S ribosomal RNA". It matches the Rfam family "Bacterial small subunit ribosomal RNA", at positions 524 to 776 of the family's 1533-position model. The record is from RNAcentral.